RNAcentral lists this ribosomal RNA (326 nucleotides) under uncultured eukaryote. RNAcentral's name for it is "partial 18S ribosomal RNA". It matches the Rfam family "Eukaryotic small subunit ribosomal RNA", at positions 1470 to 1796 of the family's 1831-position model. The record is from RNAcentral.
CCCUUAGAUGUUCGGAGCUGCACGCGCGCUACACUGAAGGAAGCAGCGUGUUAGAGUACCUGGCUUGGAAGAGCUGGGUAAUCCGGUGAAUGUCCUUCGUGAUUGGGAUAGGCACUUGUAAUUAUUUGCCUUGAACGAGGAAUACCUAGUAAGUGCGAGUCAUCAGCUUGCGCUGACUACGUCCCUGCCCUUUGCACACACCGCCCGUCGCUCCUACCGAUUGAAUGCUCAGGUGAGCCAUUCGGACUUUCAUCAUGCUGGUUUCCAGUUUUGAUGAAGGAAAGUCUUGCGAACCUUAUCAUUUAGAGGAAGGAGAGGUCGUAACA